RNAcentral lists this non-coding RNA (1568 nucleotides) under Drosophila willistoni. Its description in RNAcentral is "Eukaryotic small subunit ribosomal RNA". The stretch from base 538 to 1568 matches the Rfam family "Eukaryotic small subunit ribosomal RNA", at positions 1 to 1456 of the family's 1831-position model. The record is from Rfam by way of RNAcentral. Lineage: Eukaryota; Metazoa; Arthropoda; Insecta; Diptera; Drosophilidae.
UGCCUCACAUACAAACUACACUAACGAAUGAUCAUGAAAUUUUGAAUUAAUUAAAUUAAAAUUUUUAAAAGAUAUAAGUGCUAUCCGGUGUCGCGAUUAAUUUUUUUUAAUAACCUGGAAAAAAAUUGUAACUAUUUUAUUGCAUCAGUCUGCAUCACUAUUAAAUGCGGGGUAAAAAUCUGGUUGUUCAUAUAGUUUACAGUAAUCAUUAAAAGAAAAAAAAAAAAGAAAACAACAAAAAUAUGUAAUACAAUAGUUAAUAAUGAAGCGUAGAUUUAAGUAAAGUAGUGGGAGAAUUUAUAUACGGUGAAGAGAAAAAAUGCCUUGGCGAAUGAAAUUGUUUUUGAAGAAUAAGCAAAUUAGAAAAAUGUAUUUUGAAUAGAAGUCUAAGUUCCCACAACAUGAUUAUAUAAAACCGAUGAAAUAGAAUGUGCAUUUGGGGUCCAAAUUUUUGUCUUUUGUUAUUGGCCAUGGACGGGAGGGUAUAGGUGCAUAAUGGCAGCCAACAUCUAAGCCAUACUAGAGCUAGACAUCAUAUAUUGGGAGGAGUUCGCGUUAGAUAGCUAGUUGAUUAACUUAGUGAUAUUUUUUUUUGUUAUUUUAUUGCGACAUUAAAAAGCCAUACGUUUGUUCGUUUUUUUUUGAGAAUUCAAUUAUCUCUUUUAGCUUCAUUAGGGACUCUAUAAUAAAUUAUAUGUAGCAAGAUGUUUCGAAAACUGCAGCAACAACCCAUCCCACCCGGAAGAGCUACGGUUACAAAUACGGGUACCGAUCCGCUGUAAGAUCUUAAUAUCAUGGUGUCAGUUUUUUUUUUGAGAGCCAACACUACCCUGCUACAGUACAAAUUCUUGGACCGUCGUAAGACUAACUUAAGCGAAAGCAUUUGCCAAAGAUGUUUUCAUUAAUCAAGAACGAGAGUUAGAGGUUCGAAGGCGAUCAGAUACCGCCUUAGUUCUAACCAUAAACGAUGCCAGCUAGCAAUUGGGUGUAGCUACUUUUAUGGCUCUCUCAGUCGCUUCCCGGGAAACCAAAGCUUUUGGGCUCCGGGGGAAGUAUGGUUGCAAAGCUGAAACUUAAAGGAAUUGACGGAAGGGCACCACCAGGAGUGGAGCCUGCAACUUAAUUUGACUCAACACGGGAAAACUUACCAGGUCCGAACAUAAGUGUGUAAGACAGAUAGCUCUUUCUCGAAUCUAUGGGUGGUGGUGCAUGGCCGUUCUUAGUUUGUUGAGUGAUUUGUCUGGUUAAUUCCGAUAACGAACGAGACUCAAAUAUAUUAAAUAGAUAUCUUCAGGAUUAUGGUGUUGAAGCUUAUAUUGCCUUCAUUCAUGGUAGCAGUAAAAUGUUUAUUGUGUUUGAAUGUGUUUAUAUACAUAUAUGAAAAAAAAAAAAAUUUACUCAACAUUUAAAAUUUUUCAUAUCAUAUGAAAAUAUAUAUCAUAACGUAUGGGAUUUAUUUAAUUUCGCCCAUUCAUAUGAAAAAAAAAAAAAUUUACUCAUCAUUAAAAUUUUUCAUAUCAUAUGAAAAUAUAUCAUAACGUAUGCGAUUUAUUUAAAAUCGACCAUAU